GACGAACGCUGGCGGCGUGCUUAACACAUGCAAGUCGAACGGAAAGGCCCUGCUUUUGUGGGGUGCUCGAGUGGCGAACGGGUGAGUAACACGUGAGUAACCUGCCCUUGACUUUGGGAUAACUUCAGGAAACUGGGGCUAAUACCGGAUAGGAGCUCCUGCUGCAUGGUGGGGGUUGGAAAUUUUCGGCGGUUGGGGAUGGACUCGCGGCUUAUCAGCUUGUUGGUGGGGUAGUGGCUUACCAAGGCUUUGACGGGUAGCCGGCCUGAGAGGGUGACCGGCCACAUUGGGACUGAGAUACGGCCCAGACUCCUACGGGAGGCAGCAGUGGGGAAUAUUGCACAAUGGGCGGAAGCCUGAUGCAGAAACGCCGCGUGCGGGAUGACGGCCUUCGGGUUGUAAACCGCUUUCGCCUGUGCCGAAGCGUGAGUGACGGUAAUGGGUAAAGAAGCACCGGCUAACUACGUG
RNAcentral lists this ribosomal RNA (468 nucleotides) under uncultured bacterium. Its description in RNAcentral is "partial 16S ribosomal RNA". It matches the Rfam family "Bacterial small subunit ribosomal RNA", at positions 28 to 507 of the family's 1533-position model. The record is from RNAcentral.